RNAcentral lists this ribosomal RNA (492 nucleotides) under uncultured bacterium. RNAcentral's name for it is "bacterial SSU rRNA". It matches the Rfam family "Bacterial small subunit ribosomal RNA", at positions 28 to 511 of the family's 1533-position model. The record is from RNAcentral.
GAUGAACGCUAGCUACAGGCUUAACACAUGCAAGUCGAGGGGCAGCAUGGUCUUAGCUUGCUAAGGCCGAUGGCGACCGGCGCACGGGUGAGUAACACGUAUCCAACCUGCCGUCUACUCUUGGACAGCCUUCUGAAAGGAAGAUUAAUACAAGAUGGCAUCAUGAGUCCGCAUGUUCACAUGAUUAAAGGUAUUCCGGUAGACGAUGGGGAUGCGUUCCAUUAGAUAGUAGGCGGGUAACGGCCCACCUAGUCUUCGAUGGAUAGGGGUUCUGAGAGGAAGGUCCCCCACAUUGGAACUGAGACACGGUCCAAACUCCUACGGGAGCAGCAGUGAGGAAUAUUGGUCAAUGGGCGAGAGCCUGAACCAGCCAAGUAGCGUGAAGGAUGACUGCCCUANGGGUUGUAAACUUCUUUUAUAAAGGAAUAAAGUCGGGUAUGGAUACCCGUUUGCAUGUACUUUAUGAAUAAGGAUCGGCUAACUCCGUGCCAG